GGAUCCAGACUUUGAUCAUGGCUCAGGAUGAACGCUAGCGGCAGGCUUAACACAUGCAAGUCGAGGGGCAGCGCGGGGCGGCAACGUCCUGGCGGCGACCGGCGGAAGGGUGCGUAACGCGUGAGCGACAUGCCCGUUGCCCGGGGACAACCGGUGGAAACGCCGACUAAUCCCCGAUGGGACGGAGGCCCUCAUGGGUCUCUGUUGAAAGUUACGGCGGCGACGGAUUGGCUCGCGUCCGAUUAGCUUGUUGGCGGGGUAACGGCCCACCAAGGCUACGAUCGGUAGGGGUUCUGAGAGGAAGGUCCCCCACAAUGGAACUGAGACACGGUCCAUACUCCUACGGGAGGCAGCAGUGAGGAAUAUUGGUCAAUGGGCGGAAGCCUGAACCAGCCAUGCCGCGUGCGGGAAGGAGGCCCUAUGGGCUGCGAACCGCUUUUGCCUGGGGGCAAUAAGGGCGUCGCGCACGUCCGAUGAGAGUACCAGGGGAAUAAGCAUCGGCUAACUCCGUGCCAGCAGCCGCGGUAAUACGGGGGAUGCGAGCGUUAUCCGGAUUCAUUGGGUUUAAAGGGUGCGUAGGCUGUGCGUCAAGUCAGGGGUGAAAUUCCGGGGCUCAACUCCGGGGCUGCCCUUGAUACUGUCGCGCUGGAGUGCGGAUGCCGCCGGAGGAAUGAGUGGUGUAGCGGUGAAAUGCUUAGAUAUCACUCAGAACACCGAUUGCGAAGGCAUCUGGCGAAUCCGUAACUGACGCUGAGGCACGAAAGCGUGGGGAUAGAACAGGAUUAGAUACCCUGGUAUUCCACGCCGUAAACGAUGAUGGCUAACCGCCGGCGACAUACUGUCGGUGGCCAAGCGAAAGCGAUAAGCCAUCCACCUGGGGAGUACGUCGGCAACGAUGCAACUCAAAUGAAUUGACGG
Molecule: ribosomal RNA, 918 nt
Filed under: uncultured Bacteroidota bacterium
Lineage: Bacteria; Pseudomonadati; Bacteroidota
Description: bacterial SSU rRNA
Rfam family: Bacterial small subunit ribosomal RNA
Source: RNAcentral